This 138-nucleotide ribosomal RNA is filed under the name uncultured bacterium. RNAcentral describes it as "partial 16S ribosomal RNA". It matches the Rfam family "Bacterial small subunit ribosomal RNA", at positions 355 to 509 of the family's 1533-position model. The record is from RNAcentral.
UGGGGAAUAUUGCACAAUGGGGGGAAACCCUGAUGCAGCGACGCCGCGUGAGCGAGGAAGUAUUUCGGUAUGUAAAGCUCUAUCAGCAGGGAAGAAAAUGACGGUACCUGACUAAGAAGCCCCGGCUAACUACGUGCC